Long non-coding RNA from Phalaenopsis equestris, 1077 nucleotides. RefSeq lists it as uncharacterized. Lineage: Eukaryota; Viridiplantae; Streptophyta; Magnoliopsida; Asparagales; Orchidaceae. The record is from RefSeq and is a predicted model, not a curated record. The transcript is spliced from 3 exons.
UUAAGAAUUAGGUGGUAUGUAUGUAAAUGCCCCUAAAUUUUGUUGUCUAGAGUGAAUGCUUAACAGGCGCUUCAGCGCCGAACUUGUCCGCUCUCUAUUCCCUCUUCUGCAUUCCACAAACAGAUUCCCCAUCCCAAUCUUCUUCCCAAACCCGAACACACAGCAGCAAUAGAUGCUCCGCCGCCUACCUGAAACCCUAUGCUUCUGCUCACAUCGUGAGCAGCACAGCUCCUCUUGCAUCCACUACUGCCAAGAAAAUUGCAAGAGAACAUUGAGGAGAUACUUCACAAUCUGUUUCGUGUGUAUUUGAAGGACUAAUGGCGGCGACCUCCUCCACUCAGUGAUGAAUCCAACUCUCCUUAUAUUGAAUUUACCCUUCCAUUGGAUAUCUUCAACGCUCUUGUAAAUGUGCUCUUUCUUGAAAGAAUGAGGUUGGCACGAUCUUGAGAUUUGGUCUCAUCACAGCCUCUACAGGGCGACUUCUUUCUCUGUCGACCUGACUAAAACUCCUUUUUGGUGAACACGGUUCUUGGCGUCUUGCACUAAAGGUGUUGUGCUCAGAGCUGAACUCAUCUCCAGAAAUGUGGUUGUUGGUCUGCUACAACAAAUUAUAUAAAGUUUUUGCACGGUGAGGUCUUCUCUCAAACCCUGCGAGAGCGUCGCAUGCGUUGCAGGUUCAAGGUUCAGCUCUUGUUGACUCCGGCCGAGAAAUUUUCCCAUGCGUUGUCGCACGGAGCACCGUGCGAACAAUGGCUAUGAUACAUCGGAUCGCGGUGGCUGUUUUUUUUUUUUCUGCCGCACAGUGGAAAAAUUUUUCACUCCGGCCUCUGGAUUUGAAGAAUCGAACUUGAAUGAUGGGACUGCAACCAUGACAUACAGGCAAGACUACAAGCUCAAAAGCUCAUGCAAUUAGUUGAUGAGAAAGAAUUCAAAUUUAAAAGAGAAUUUUACGAAUUUCAAAAUGAUUAUUUACUUCUUAAAGCAGGGGAUGAAUUUGUUCUUAACUUAUUUUAAAUCCGCUGAAUAUUCUCAAAAGUUAACUUUGAACAGUUUUACACAUUUUUCAAAGUACAUCUG